RNAcentral lists this ribosomal RNA (253 nucleotides) under uncultured bacterium. RNAcentral describes it as "partial 16S ribosomal RNA". It matches the Rfam family "Bacterial small subunit ribosomal RNA", at positions 524 to 776 of the family's 1533-position model. The record is from RNAcentral.
UACAGAGGGGGCAAGCGUUGUUCGGAAUUACUGGGCGUAAAGGGCGCGUAGGCGGCCUUCUAAGUCGGACGUGAAAUCCCCGGGCUCAACCCGGGAACUGCGUCCGAUACUGGAAGGCUUGAAUCCGGGAGAGGGAUGUGGAAUUCCAGGUGUAGCGGUGAAAUGCGUAGAUAUCUGGAGGAACACCGGUGGCGAAGGCGGCAUCCUGGACCGGUAUUGACGCUGAGGCGCGAAAGCCAGGGGAGCAAACGGG